Molecule: long non-coding RNA, 727 nt
Filed under: Callithrix jacchus (white-tufted-ear marmoset)
Lineage: Eukaryota; Metazoa; Chordata; Mammalia; Primates; Cebidae
Description: lncRNA (ENSCJAG00000065826.2)
Source: RNAcentral
GGCGGGGCCACUGACAAAGGUGAGGAGCUGGAGGUGGCUGCAGAAGUCCUGCACACAGUAGAUGCCCAGGACAUACCUGAAAUGCAGCUGGGGGUCCUGUUAUGGAGUUUUCCUUGUGACCUUGGGAAGGUGUUAACCAGAAAGUGUGACUGUAACAUCAUCGAUGAUAGCAGCUCUGUUUUGUAAGCUCCUACAGUGCGGGCAGCACUGUGCCCACUACCCUACUCAUGUUAGCCCCGUGUAUGUUUUCAUUUUACAGAUAAAGACAUGGGGGCUCAGGGCGGUGGAGACCUGCCCAAGGUGACAGCACAGAUCAGUGCUGGUCCCAGAAUUCAAUCCCAGGUCUGACUCCAGAAUCAGACCAUGUGCUGCGCCCAUGCCUCAGUUUCCUCAUUUCUGCCACGAAGGCCUGGAAGAGAGGAUUUCAUAUUUGGCCUGCUUUAGCGCAAAAGGCUGCUGACCCCAGAGUUCCCUCUUCAGAGUAUCCCACCAAGGAGACCUGAUCUUGAGCCUGGAGCCCCGAACCGAUGCUUGAAUUCCAAGAGGUGACCUGCUGCCGGGGGGCCUGGUGGCAGGCACUGCACUCACACACCAGGGGAUGGAUGCAGACAGAGGGGCAGCACUUGGACCUGGCGGGCGGCGGGACUGACCAUUGGGCCAGGGACAGGCCGGGGCGCCACGAGGCUGUCUGCUGCAGAAUAAAAAUGCCACUAUUCCUCUAAUUGCU